CUCAACCCAGAGCAGGGCUCAAGGAGCUUCACCUAGUGACCUCAGAACCCCAGGCCUCUCUGGAAAAUUGACUCAGUUUCCCACAGCCACUGGGGCACACCCAAAUGACGCACCUAGUAUAAAGGGCAAUGGGGACAAAAUGCACCAAGGACUUGGCUGGCCUGGGGACCGGACGUGUGGGUAGAACGGCACCUGAGGUACUAGAAGGGUUCUUGGAGGAGGAAAAAGAAGAAAAUAGGGGAAGCAUAGCUCUUUAUUAAGCUUUAUAUGCAGAGCACUGUUGUAUUUGCUCGUCCUCUGGGCUGGUGUCUUAUCAGACAUGCUGCACAUCUGUGAGGUCAAGGAGAAAGUCAUUUUUAUCUGAAGUAGAGAAAAAGUCUUGCUGGUUACAGGGUGAUGCAAGUCCUCGAGCAUC
This is a long non-coding RNA of Heterocephalus glaber (naked mole-rat), 415 nucleotides long. The record is from Ensembl. Lineage: Eukaryota; Metazoa; Chordata; Mammalia; Rodentia; Bathyergidae.